GCAAGUCGAGCGCACCCCUUCGGGGGCGAGCGGCGGACGGGUUAGUAACGCGUGGGAACAUACCCAAUGGUACGGAAUAGCCUCGGGAAACUGAGAGUAAUACCGUAUACGCCCUUCGGGGGAAAGAUUUAUCGGUUAAGGAUUGGCCCGCGUUAGAUUAGAUAGUUGGUGGGGUAACGGCCUACCAAGUCUACGAUCUAUAGCUGGUUUGAGAGGAUGAUC
This 222-nucleotide ribosomal RNA is filed under the name uncultured bacterium. RNAcentral's name for it is "partial 16S ribosomal RNA". It matches the Rfam family "Bacterial small subunit ribosomal RNA", at positions 57 to 305 of the family's 1533-position model. The record is from RNAcentral.